This 486-nucleotide ribosomal RNA is filed under the name uncultured bacterium. RNAcentral describes it as "partial 16S ribosomal RNA". It matches the Rfam family "Bacterial small subunit ribosomal RNA", at positions 28 to 507 of the family's 1533-position model. The record is from RNAcentral.
GACGAACGCUGGCGGCGUGCUUAACACAUGCAAGUCGAACGCUGAAGACCUGGCUUUUGUUGGGUUGGAUGAGUGGCGAACGGGUGAGUAACACGUGAGUAACCUGCCCUCUUCUUUGGGAUAACGCCCGGAAACGGGUGCUAAUACUGGAUAUUCACUGGCCUUCGCAUGGGGGUUGGUGGAAAGGUUUGUUCUGGUGGGGGAUGGGCUCGCGGCCUAUCAGCUUGUUGGUGGGGUGAUGGCCUACCAAGGCUUUGACGGGCAGCCGGCCUGAGAGGGUGACCGGUCACAUUGGGACUGAGAUACGGCCCAGACUCCUACGGGAGGCAGCAGUGGGGAAUAUUGCACAAUGGGCGAAAGCCUGAUGCAGCGACGCCGCGUGAGGGAUGGAGGCCUUCGGGUUGUAAACCUCUUUCGCUCAUGGUCAAGCCGCAACUGUGGGUUGUGGUGAGGGUAGUGGGUAAAGAAGCGCCGGCUAAUUACGUG